Molecule: ribosomal RNA, 504 nt
Filed under: Roseovarius nubinhibens
Lineage: Bacteria; Pseudomonadati; Pseudomonadota; Alphaproteobacteria; Rhodobacterales; Roseobacteraceae
Description: bacterial SSU rRNA
Rfam family: Bacterial small subunit ribosomal RNA
Source: RNAcentral
CCUGAUCUAGCCAUGCCGCGUGAGUGAAGAAGGUCUUAGGAUCGUAAAGCUCUUUCGCCAGGGAUGAUAAUGACAGUACCUGGUAAAGAAACCCCGGCUAACUCCGUGCCAGCAGCCGCGGUAAUACGGAGGGGGUUAGCGUUGUUCGGAAUUACUGGGCGUAAAGCGCGCGUAGGCGGAUCAGAAAGUUGGGGGUGAAAUCCCAGGGCUCAACCCUGGAACUGCCUCCAAAACUCCUGGUCUUGAGUUCGAGAGAGGUGAGUGGAACUCCGAGUGUAGAGGUGAAAUUCGUAGAUAUUCGGAAGAACACCAGUGGCGAAGGCGGCUCACUGGCUCGAUACUGACGCUGAGGUGCGAAAGUGUGGGGAGCAAACAGGAUUAGAUACCCUGGUAGUCCACACCGUAAACGAUGAAUGCCAGUCGUCGGGUAGUAUACUAUUCGGUGACACACCUAACGGAUUAAGCAUUCCGCCUGGGGAGUACGGUCGCAAGAUUAAAACUCAA